Molecule: long non-coding RNA, 2171 nt
Filed under: Homo sapiens (human)
Lineage: Eukaryota; Metazoa; Chordata; Mammalia; Primates; Hominidae
Description: HSALNT0308465
Source: RNAcentral
CAAGGAAUGCCCGCAGCCCGGGAUUCCUCCUAAGCCGCGUCCCAACUGUGUGGGACCCCACUGAAAAUCGGACUGUUCAACUCACCUGGCAGCCACUCCCAGAGUCCCUGGAACUCUGGCCCAAGGCUCUCUGACUGACUCCUUCCCAGAACUUCUCGGCUUAGCGGCUGAAGACUGACACUGCCCGAUCGCCUUGGAAGCCCCCUAGACCAUCACGGAUGCUGAGCUUCCGGUAACUCUCACAGUGGAAGGUAUACGCCCAGAUGGCCUGAAGUAACUGAAGAAUCACAAAAGAAGUGAAUAUGCCCUGCCCCGCCUUAACUGAUGACAUUCCACCACAAAAGAAGUGUAAAUGGCCGGUCCUUGCCUUAACUGAUGACAUUACCUUGUGAAAGUCCUUUUCCUGGCUCAUCCUGACUCAAAAAUCACCCCCACUGAGCACCUUGCGACCCCCCACUCCUGCCUGUCAGAGAACAAACCCCCUUUGACUGUAAUUUUCCUUUACCUACCCAAAUCCUAUAAAACGGCCCCACCCUUAUCUCCCUUCUCUGACUCUUUUCUGACUCAGCCCGCCUGCACCCAGGUGAAAUAAACAGCCAUGUUGCUCACACAAAGCCUGUUUGGUGGUCUCUUCACACGGACGCGUGUGAAAACCAACAUGGAGAAACCCCGUCUCUACUAAAAAUACAAAAUUAGUCGGGCAUGGUGGUGCACGCCUGUAAUCCCAGCUACUCAGGAGGCUGAGGCAGGAGAAUCUCUUGAAUCCGGGAGGCGGAGGUUGCGGUGAGCUGAGAUCACACCAUUGCACUCCAGCCUGGGCAACAAGAGCAAAAGAAACUCUGUCUAAAAACAAACAAAAAAGAGGAGUCCUGAAUUGUUUAAAUAAGGGAGAAGAAUAACAUUGAUAACAUUGUCAGAUCUGGGUUUUAGGCAGAACCUUUUUAUGGGUAGCAGAGACGACCAAAACAAGUACAAGUAGUCAAUCAAAAGUCACCGAUAUGUCCAACAAGAGAGCCUGCUCUCCCCAGGACAGAGUGAAAGCCCAGUGGCCUCACAGGCACGAGUGUCUGGGAGCACUGCAGGAAGGAAGUCAGAAUCCACUGGACUCCACAACUUCCUGAUGAGUGAGAAAAAUUCUGGAAAACUGUCAGCAUUCUCUCAGAAGGUGAGCAUACCGAUUGCAGAGUAUUUCUACCUUUCCAAGCUUGGCAAUAGUACAAAAAUGAGGUCGAUUCUCUUCACUCUGUGUAACUCACACCACCAGAUGCUGAUGCCCUUAGACUCUUUCACAGCUACAGUUCCCCAAAUCAUUUAUAUCCAGAGGUCAGGCAUAUGGAGCUCAUUAAAUUCCAUACAGCAACAUUGUAACCAUGUGAAACUUUUUGUUUGCAGUGCAAUUUAAUGUUGAAUUUGAUUUAUGAGGCACUGCACAUUCUUAGUCCUAGGAUGACAGCAUACACUUCUACAAGCUUAAGUCAUGGUUUGGGGCAAGGGGGAAGGCCUUUGACCAGAUGUUGGAAUUGGAAAUCUGGGCUUAUGCUAAGCAUUUGCGAAGAAGGGAGAGCACCACAUCUUAGAGAAGGUCUAUCCCAACUUGACUGUUAUAUCACUGAGGAAACCAAGACCUAGAGAAUUUCUUUUCCUUUUUCUUUUCUUUUCUCUCUUUUUUUUUUUUUUGAGACAGGGUCUCCCUCUCUUGCCCAGGCUGGAGUGCAGUGGUGCGAUCAUGGCUCGCUACAGCUUCAACCUCCCAGCCUCGAGCAAUCCUCCCACCUCAGCCACCUGAGUAGCUGGGAUUACAGAUGUAUGCCACCAAGUCCAGCUAAUUUUUGUAUUUUUUUUGUAGAGACAGGGUUUCACGAUGUUGUCCAGGCUGGUCUCGAACCCUUGGGCUCAAGCAAUCUGCCCACCUCUCAAAGUGCUGGAAUAACAGGCAUCCUAGAGAAUUUAAAUGACAGAGGCAGUGGCUGGAACCCAGGUCUCCUGAUUCUCAGCCCAGUGGCCCUCCUUCUCUCUCCCUUGCCUCUCUACUAUUCAAAAUACAAAAAUGAAGAGAAAAUGGGCCUUUCUUAUUCAUGCGGAAAUUCAUUCCAACUUGACAGAAAGGUACCCAUGUAAAAUGUAUUGUUAACUUCAUAUCCUAGUAUAUAAAUAAGAGAAAAUCAAUAAAG